GGGGCUGUAGCUCAAUGGUAGAGCACUUUCCUAGCAUAUGUGAGGCACUGAGUUCGAUUCUCAGCACCA
RNAcentral lists this transfer RNA (69 nucleotides) under Ictidomys tridecemlineatus (thirteen-lined ground squirrel). Its description in RNAcentral is "Spermophilus tridecemlineatus (thirteen-lined ground squirrel) tRNA". It matches the Rfam family "tRNA". From Rfam's summary of the family: Transfer RNA (tRNA) molecules are approximately 80 nucleotides in length. Their secondary structure includes four short double-helical elements and three loops (D, anti-codon, and T loops). Further hydrogen bonds mediate the characteristic L-shaped molecular structure. tRNAs have two regions of fundamental functional importance: the anti-codon, which is responsible for specific mRNA codon recognition, and the 3' end, to which the tRNAs corresponding amino acid is attached (by aminoacyl-tRNA synthetases). tRNAs cope with the degeneracy of the genetic code in two manners: having more than one tRNA (with a specific anti-codon) for a particular amino acid; and 'wobble' base-pairing, i.e. permitting non-standard base-pairing at the 3rd anti-codon position. The record is from Rfam by way of RNAcentral. Lineage: Eukaryota; Metazoa; Chordata; Mammalia; Rodentia; Sciuridae.